CCUANGGGGGGCUGCAGUCAAGAAUAUUCCUCAAUGGACGAAAGUCUGAAGGAGCGACGCCGCGUGACUGAAGAAGUCCUUCGGGAUGUAAAGGUCUUUUCUCAGGGAAGAAAUCUGACGGUACCUGAGGAAUAAGAGGUUGCUAACUCUGUGCCAGCAGCAGCGGUAAUACAGAGACCUCGAGCGUUAUCCGGAUUGAUUGGGCGUAAAGCGUGCGCAGACGGCUUUCUAAGUCUACGGUCAAAUCCCGAUGCUCAACAUCGGGACUGCCGCGGAAACUGGAUCGCUAGAGUGCGGAAGAGGUCAGCGGAAUUGCCGGUGUAACGGUAAAAUGUGUUAAUAUCGGCAAGAACACCAGAGGCGAAGGCGGCUGACUGGGACGCAACUGACGUUGUUGCACGAAAGCGUGGGGAGCGAAUGGGAUUAGAUACCCCGNUANUC
RNAcentral lists this ribosomal RNA (441 nucleotides) under uncultured bacterium. Its description in RNAcentral is "bacterial SSU rRNA". It matches the Rfam family "Bacterial small subunit ribosomal RNA", at positions 338 to 795 of the family's 1533-position model. The record is from RNAcentral.